Long non-coding RNA from Brachypodium distachyon (stiff brome), 650 nucleotides. RefSeq lists it as uncharacterized. The record is from RefSeq and is a predicted model, not a curated record. NCBI's taxonomy places the organism in Eukaryota, Viridiplantae, Streptophyta, Magnoliopsida, Poales, Poaceae. The transcript is spliced from 2 exons.
GGAUGCUCUCGUUGAACCCCCUGAUGGACGGGUUGAUGGGCUCCAUCCCGCCGUCCACCGUCUGCUGCUUGUGGAACGGCAGCACGAUGAGCGACACGUGCUUGUCCUCCGCCAGCACACACACGUCCUCGUGCAUCGUCUGGCAAUGGAAUAAUGGAUGAUGUCUACUGACCGACGCUUUCCUCGUAGCUCUCGAAGGCGUUGAAGAUGUGGUCGCUGGAGCUGCCGGCGGUGUGGCUGGCGGCGAGCAUGUUGGAGGCGCGCCCGGUGAGCUCGACGAGGUGGAGGGCGUAGAUGAAGAUGGGGGAGCGCUUGGUGGGAUUGGACAGCUCCAGUAGGGAGAUAAUGGACGGCACAUUGCGGUUGAUGUGCACGCACGCCAGCAUGCGCAGCUCCGAGUCAUGCUUGGACCGCUGCAGGUUGCGCCGCUUGUACCCGACUAACCGCCGCGCCGGACGGUACACAGUCGUCACCACCGGCGUCACCAGCGCCGUCAUCGCCACCGAGACCAGCACCAUCACCGCGAACGACUCAUCAUCCAACACCUGCUAUCAGUAGUUCAAGCAGAUCGAGCACCAGUUAAUUUCAAUGUCAUCAAUUGGGCAUCGAUGUCGAUCGGCAUGAUCUAUCAGAUAUACGGGAGUAAUGAA